Molecule: ribosomal RNA, 492 nt
Filed under: uncultured bacterium
Lineage: Bacteria
Description: partial 16S ribosomal RNA
Rfam family: Bacterial small subunit ribosomal RNA
Source: RNAcentral
AGUGAACGCUGGCGGUAGGCCUAACACAUGCAAGUCGAACGGCAGCACAGUAAGAGCUUGCUCUUACGGGUGGCGAGUGGCGGACGGGUGAGGAAUACAUCGGCAUCUACUUUUUCGUGGGGGAUAACGUAGGGAAACUUACGCUAAUACCGCAUACUACCUACGGGUGAAAGCAGGGGAUCUUCGGACCUUGCGCGAUUGAAUGAGCCGAUGUCGGAUUAGCUAGUUGGCGGGGUAAAGGCCCACCAAGGCGACGAUCCGUAGCUGGUCUGAGAGGAUGAUCAGCCACACUGGAACUGAGACACGGUCCAGACUCCUACGGGAGGCAGCAGUGGGGAAUAUUGGACAAUGGGCGCAAGCCUGAUCCAGCCAUACCGCGUGGGUGAAGAAGGCCUUCGGGUUGUAAAGCCCUUUUGUUGGGAAAGAAAAGCAGCAGGUUAAUACCCCGCUGUUCUGACGGUACCCAAAGAAUAAGCACCGGCUAACUUCGUG